Rosa rugosa (rugosa rose) is the source of this 1210-nucleotide long non-coding RNA. RefSeq lists it as uncharacterized. NCBI's taxonomy places the organism in Eukaryota, Viridiplantae, Streptophyta, Magnoliopsida, Rosales, Rosaceae. The transcript has 4 exons. The record is from RefSeq and is a predicted model, not a curated record.
GCGCGAGGAGAGCCACUUAAUCAAUCAACCUAGGGGUUCAACGUAAUUUCACAGUUGACGGUGCCGUUAGGGUGAAAAUGUUUUACAGCCCUCCUCGUCAUCCAUCCCAAUCGAAUUGAAGUUCAUUCCAUCCUUUCCUCUCCAAACCCCUCUUCUCAGACCCAAAAUCACUUCUCUCUCCUGUCGCCACUGGACUUGAUAACCAAGGUCCCCAAAGCCGAAAAUUCAGCUUUAUCAUUGAGGUAGAAACGAGGGAGUAAUCCUAUUCUCGCCUCCGCCGAAAAACCAAGAUUGGAUUCACAAAAACACAAGAUUGGGAGGUCAUCAACCAAGCCUGGAGCUGAUUCCAAGCAGAAAUCUGUUCACACUGUCACAAAAACUGAGGUUAGAUAUGUCUACUCACAUUCGGGGAUUUUGAAGCAACUGUAUGAAGUUUAAUGAGAGUAAAGAAUGGACUCAGAGAGAGUCUUGAUCUUCUAGCAUCCCAUUCGAUCCACUAGACUAGUUUCACUGGAAGGGUUCCAAAAUUGUGCCUUCGAAGUUCAUAUAAAAUGCGUACUAAAUGCAAUAGAGUGAUGCGAUUUCUGUAUGUGGAAUUGCUUUGGAAGGAACAACUUGGACAAACCGGGGGACUUCUAUUUGUCAAGUCACCGCCAGUGAUUUCCAGAAGUCCUUAUUACAAGGCUUCGGUUUGUACAGUUGGUGCCUUGAUAGCCCUAAUACUUGUAUAAUAUGUGAUAUUGUUCGUGGGCAAUGUUUCGUGGUUAACGGUAUCCAGAUACUUGCGGUGAGGUGAAGCUCGGAUCGGAGUUGGAUGAAGGUGGUGGUUGGGUCAAGGAUUGGUGGCCAUCAUCAGUUUCGGUGGUUCCUGCAAGGACGCAAACUCGAAAUGGGCCUGGACUUGGUGGUACUUGGGCCUGGGCGUUUGCCAUCGGCUUGGGUUUUUUUGUUUUUACUUAUUUUGAAUUUUUUUUUUUUUUUUUUAUGAAUGGUUUUGUGAUAAUUUAUUUUAAUAAACUACACUUUGUUAUCUCAAAUUUGUCCAUGACAAAAAAAAAUGGAAAAAUUAUGAAAUUAAGCUCUCUAAGUGGACAUUGAACCGUUGUAGGAAUAAUUUUUUUCCAGAUUUUGUAUAUAAGUCAAAGCUAGAGCUUAUGCGAGAUGGUCAUGAACAAGGUCCAGAUAGAUUGGAAACUUGUGUUUUAUUGUU